This 476-nucleotide ribosomal RNA is filed under the name uncultured organism. RNAcentral describes it as "partial 16S ribosomal RNA". It matches the Rfam family "Bacterial small subunit ribosomal RNA", at positions 331 to 798 of the family's 1533-position model. The record is from RNAcentral.
GUACACUCCUGCGGGAGGCAGCAGUGGGGAAUUUUGGACAAUGGGCGAAAGCCUGAUCCAGCAAUGCCGCGUGAGUGAAGAAGGCCUUCGGGUUGUAAAGCUCUUUUGUCAGGGAAGAAACGGUGAGAGCUAAUAUCUUUUGCUAAUGACGGUACCUGAAGAAUAAGCACCGGCUAACUACGUGCCAGCAGCCGCGGUAAUACGUAGGGUGCAAGCGUUAAUCGGAAUUACUGGGCGUAAAGCGUGCGCAGGCGGUUUUGUAAGUCUGAUGUGAAAUCCCCGGGCUCAACCUGGGAAUUGCAUUGGAGACUGCAAGGCUAGAAUCUGGCAGAGGGGGGUAGAAUUCCACGUGUAGCAGUGAAAUGCGUAGAUAUGUGGAGGAACACCGAUGGCGAAGGCAGCCCCCUGGGUCAAGAUUGACGCUCAUGCACGAAAGCGUGGGGAGCAAACAGGAUUAGAUACCCCGGUAGUCCCAU